This 253-nucleotide ribosomal RNA is filed under the name uncultured bacterium. Its description in RNAcentral is "partial 16S ribosomal RNA". It matches the Rfam family "Bacterial small subunit ribosomal RNA", at positions 524 to 776 of the family's 1533-position model. The record is from RNAcentral.
UACGAAGGGAGCUCGCGUUGUUCGGAAUCACUGGGCGUAAAGCGCACGUAGGCGGAUGUGUCAGUCAGGGGUGAAAUCCCGGAGCUCAACUUCGGAACUGCCUUUGAUACAGCACGUCUUGAGUCCGAUAGAGGUGGGUGGAAUUCCUAGUGUAGAGGUGAAAUUCGUAGAUAUUAGGAAGAACACCGGUGGCGAAGGCGGCCCACAGGAUCGGUACUGACGCUGAGGUGCGAAAGCGUGGGGAGCAAACAGG